ACGGUGAAGAGGAGCUUGCUCCUCAGAACAGUGGCGGACGGGUGAGUAACACGUGAGCAACCUGGCUCUAAGAGGGGGACAACAGUUGGAAACGACUGCUAAUACCGCAUAACGUAUCGGGAUGGCAUCUUCCUGAUACCAAAGAUUUUAUCGCUUAGAGAUGGGCUCGCGUCUGAUUAGAUAGUUGGCGGGGUAACGGCCCACCAAGUCGACGAUCAGUAGCCGGACUGAGAGGUUGAACGGCCACAUUGGGACUGAGACACGGCCCAGACUCCUACGGGAGGCAGCAGUGGGGGAUAUUGGACAAUGGGGGCAACCCUGAUCCAGCGACGCCGCGUGAGGGAAGAAGGUUUUCGGAUUGUAAACCUCUGUUGACGGAGAAAAAAAUGAUGGUAUCCGUUUAGAAAGCCACGGCUAACUACGUGCCAGCAGCCGCGGUAAUACGUAGGUGGCAAGCGUUGUCCGGAAUUACUGGGUGUAAAGGGAGUGUAGGCGGGAUGUCAAGUCAGAAGUGAAAAUUACGGGCUCAACUCGUAACCUGCUUUU
Molecule: ribosomal RNA, 546 nt
Filed under: uncultured bacterium
Lineage: Bacteria
Description: bacterial SSU rRNA
Rfam family: Bacterial small subunit ribosomal RNA
Source: RNAcentral